GAAAAAGUCAGUGAACAAAAGAGUUAGAGUUCUGAAGUUGUUUUGGUGAAGAAUCAGAUAAAGGCGAAGGGAUCGAAGAAACAUUUGAAGAGGCUUGACGCCCCUAAGCAUUGGAGGCUUGAUAAAUUGGGUGGUGCUUUUGGGCUUAUCCUUGCUGUUUGGUUGGGUACUGAACUGAGGGUUCAAAUCCUAUUGUGUUUG
This is a long non-coding RNA of Papaver somniferum (opium poppy), 201 nucleotides long. RefSeq lists it as uncharacterized. The transcript has 3 exons. The record is from RefSeq and is a predicted model, not a curated record. Lineage: Eukaryota; Viridiplantae; Streptophyta; Magnoliopsida; Ranunculales; Papaveraceae.